GGACUACCCGGGUUUCUAAUCCCGUUUGCUCCCCUAGCUUUCGCGCCUCAGCGUCAGAAGAGGUCCAGUCGAGCGCUUUCGCCACCGGCGUUCCUUCUGAUAUCAACGCAUUUCACCGCUCCACCAGAAGUUCCCUCGACCCCUAUCUCCCUCGAGCCAAUCAGUAUCCGAGGCACUUCUCCAGUUGAGCUGGAGGAUUUCACCCCGGACUUGAUCGGCCGCCUACGCGCCCUUUAAGCCCAGUGAUUCCGAACAACGUUCGCACGGUUCGUCUUACCGCGGCUGCUGGCAC
RNAcentral lists this ribosomal RNA (292 nucleotides) under uncultured Planctomycetota bacterium. RNAcentral describes it as "uncultured planctomycete partial 16S ribosomal RNA". Lineage: Bacteria; Pseudomonadati; Planctomycetota. The record is from RNAcentral.